This 678-nucleotide ribosomal RNA is filed under the name uncultured bacterium. RNAcentral's name for it is "bacterial SSU rRNA". It matches the Rfam family "Bacterial small subunit ribosomal RNA", at positions 60 to 747 of the family's 1533-position model. The record is from RNAcentral.
AGUCGACGGGAUCUGACCAGCUUGCUGGUUGGUGAGAGUGGCGAACGGGUGAGUAAUGCGUGACCAACCUGCCCCAUGCUCCAGAAUAGCUCUUGGAAACGGGUGGUAAUGCUGGAUGCUCCAACUUGACGCAUGUCUUGUUGGGAAAGUGUUUAGUGGCAUGGGAUGGGGUCGCGUCCUAUCAGCUUGUAGGCGGGGUAAUGGCCCACCUAGGCUUCGACGGGUAGCCGGCCUGAGAGGGCGGACGGCCACAUUGGGACUGAGAUACGGCCCAGACUCCUACGGGAGGCAGCAGUGGGGAAUAUUGCGCAAUGGGGGAAACCCUGACGCAGCGACGCCGCGUGCGGGAUGAAGGCCUUCGGGUUGUAAACCGCUUUUGAUUGGGAGCAAGCCUUUUUGGUGAGUGUACCUUUCGAAUAAGCGCCGGCUAACUACGUGCCAGCAGCCGCGGUAAUACGUAGGGCGCAAGCGUUACCCGGAAUUAUUGGGCGUAAAGAGCUUGUAGGCGGUUCGUCGCGUCUGGUGUGAAAGCCCAUCGCUUAACGGUGGGUUUGCGCCGGGUACGGGCGGGCUAGAGUGCAGUAGGGGAGACUGGAAUUCUCGGUGUAACGGUGGAAUGUGUAGAUAUCGGGAAGAACACCAAUGGCGAAGGCAGGUCUCUGGGCUGUUACUGACGCU